RNAcentral lists this long non-coding RNA (504 nucleotides) under Calidris pygmaea (Spoon-billed sandpiper). RNAcentral describes it as "lncRNA (ENSCPGG00000013666.1)". The record is from RNAcentral. Lineage: Eukaryota; Metazoa; Chordata; Aves; Charadriiformes; Scolopacidae.
AGCUGGUAGGAAUCUAAGAGUUUCUGUAUUGGAGAUACUCAGACUUCCACCACAGCAUUUUUGAAGCGUGGGACCCAGGUUUUGAAGAUAACUAAGACUUGUGAGAAAGACAGCAGCAAGUGAAAUUGAAUCCUGCAUCCCCUGGUUUGCAAUAGGGCUCAGGAGAAACUAACAUGAAGUGACAUGGAAAUGCUGUUUGACACACUCCAGGAGGAGGACUUCAGGCUGCGACAAGGGGGACGGUACCUCAGCAGCCCAAGGGGGAACAGGGAGCCCAUCCUGAGAGAGAAAGCAGGACCCUGUAAGCGAUAGAGAAUUUGACCAAGCUGGAAGAGCUGCUGAAUGCUGAGGCACAUGGGACCUGUUGCAGAGUGACUGAGCAGCACCCGUGUUUCACAGACGCAGGCCAGGCAAGCUUCUUACCCCAUCUCAUAGAAAAAAGCACCAAGUUGUUUUUCUCCACAAUGUAAUGGGUAUCUUUUAAAAUUCAUGAACUGCUGGUGG